AGAGUUUGAUCAUGGCUCAGAAUCAACGCUGGCGGCGCGCCUAACACAUGCAAGUCGAACGAGAAAGUGGAGCAAUCCAUGAGUACAGUGGCGUACGGGUGAGUAACACGUGGAUCAUCUGCCCUGGAGUGGGGAAUAACGCUGGGAAACCGGCGCUAAUACCGCAUAUUCCCGAGAGGGGAAAGCAGCAAUGCGCUCGAGGAGGAGUCCGCGGCCGAUUAGCUAGUUGGCAGGGUAAAAGCCUACCAAGGCUGUGAUCGGUAGCCGGCCUGAGAGGGCACACGGCCACACUGGCACUGAAACACGGGCCAGACUCCUACGGGAGGCAGCAGUGGGGAAUCUUGCACAAUGGGGGAAACCCUGAUGCAGCGACGCCGCGUGAGCGAUGAAGCCCUUCGGGGUGUAAAGCUCUUUCGGCAGGGACGAUUAUGACGGUACCUGCAGAAGCAGCUGCGGCUAACUACGUGCCAGCAGCCGCGGUAAUACGUAGGCAGCAAGCGUUGUUCGGAGUUACUGGGCGUAAAGGGUGUGUAGGCGGCCUGUUAAGUUCCGUGUGAAAUCUCCCGGCUCAACUGGGAGGGUGCGCGGAAAACUGGCGGGCUAGAGUGCGGGAUGGGAGAGUAGAAUUCCUGGUGUAGCGGUGAAAUGCGUAGAUAUCAGGAGGAAUACCGGUGGUGUAGACGGCUCUCUGGACCGUAACUGACGCUGAGACACGAAAGCGUGGGUAGCAAACAGGAUUAGAUACCCUGGUAGUCCACGCCCUAAACGAUGCAUAUUUGGUGUAGGUCAUUCA
RNAcentral lists this ribosomal RNA (793 nucleotides) under uncultured Nitrosovibrio sp. Its description in RNAcentral is "bacterial SSU rRNA". It matches the Rfam family "Bacterial small subunit ribosomal RNA", at positions 8 to 833 of the family's 1533-position model. The record is from RNAcentral. Lineage: Bacteria; Pseudomonadati; Pseudomonadota; Betaproteobacteria; Nitrosomonadales; Nitrosomonadaceae.